Molecule: ribosomal RNA, 292 nt
Filed under: Clostridioides difficile
Lineage: Bacteria; Bacillati; Bacillota; Clostridia; Peptostreptococcales; Peptostreptococcaceae
Description: partial 16S ribosomal RNA
Rfam family: Bacterial small subunit ribosomal RNA
Source: RNAcentral
CAAGCCGUAAGGUGGAGCUAAUCCCUUAAAGCUACUCUCAGUUCGGAUUGUAGGCUGAAACUCGCCUACAUGAAGCUGGAGUUACUAGUAAUCGCAGAUCAGAAUGCUGCGGUGAAUGCGUUCCCGGGUCUUGUACACACCGCCCGUCACACCACGGGAGUUGGAGACGCCCGAAGCCGAUUAUCUAACCUUUUGGAAGAAGUCGUCGAAGGUGGAAUCAAUAACUGGGGUGAAGUCGUAACAAGGUAGCCGUAUCGGAAGGUGCGGCUGGAUCACCUCCUUUCUAAGGAGA